AGCAGCAACAUUAUCCGGCAUAAGGAGUUCAAUCUCCCGUCACUAGGUAUACGUGGUCUGAUAUCUUCCAAAGAGCAUUUGCUUCCCGUGUUUUUCCUGCCCAUGUGACCAAUAAGAAAUCUCCGCUUAGACGAAAUUAGUCUUUUCUUAUUUAACUGGUUAUAUGGGCCUCUCGAUACUGGAAAGACCCUUAUGGCUCGUCAAAUUGGUCAAAUAUUAAAUGGAAAGAACCCAAAGAUUGUGAACGGUCCUGAAGUGUUAAGCAAAUUUGUCGGAGAGACUGAGAAGAACGUUAGGGAUUUAUUUUUUGAUGCUGAGAAUGAUCAAAGGACUCUAGGGGAUCAAAGUGAGCUGCAUGUUAUCAUAUUUGAUGAGAUCGAUGUUAUCU
Molecule: long non-coding RNA, 388 nt
Organism: Papaver somniferum (opium poppy)
Lineage: Eukaryota; Viridiplantae; Streptophyta; Magnoliopsida; Ranunculales; Papaveraceae
Exons: 3
Source: RefSeq, a predicted model, not a curated record